This 702-nucleotide ribosomal RNA is filed under the name Trichophyton rubrum. Its description in RNAcentral is "LSU rRNA". It matches the Rfam family "Eukaryotic large subunit ribosomal RNA", at positions 220 to 935 of the family's 3401-position model. Lineage: Eukaryota; Fungi; Ascomycota; Eurotiomycetes; Onygenales; Arthrodermataceae. The record is from RNAcentral.
CCCGUCUUGGGCGGGCGGCCCGCGCCCGUGUGAAGCUCCUUCGACGAGUCGAGUUGUUUGGGAAUGCAGCUCUAAGCGGGUGGUAAAUUUCAUCUAAAGCUAAAUACCGGCCGGAGACCGAUAGCGCACAAGUAGAGUGAUCGAAAGGUUAAAAGCACCUUGAAAAGGGAGUUAAACAGCACGUGAAAUUGUUGAAAGGGAAGCGCUUGCGGCCAGACUCGGGGGGCGGGGUUCAGCGGGCGCUCGUCGCCCGUGCACUGCCCGCUCCCCGGGCCAGCAUCAGCUUCGACGGCCGGUCAAAGGCCCCCGGAAUGUGUCGUCUCUAGGGACGUCUUAUAGCCGGGGGUGCAAUGCGGCCCGUCGAGACUGAGGAACGCGCUCCGGCUCGGAUGCUGGCGUAAUGGCCGUAAGCGGCCCGUCUUGAAACACGGACCAAGGAGUCUAACAUCCACGCGAGUGUUCGGGUGUCAAACCCGUGCGCGCAGUGAAAGCGAACGGAGGUGGGAGCCCCCCCCCAGGGCGCACCAUCGACCGAUCCUGAAGUCUUCGGAUGGAUUUGAGUAGGAGCGUGGCCGUUGGGACCCGAAAGAUGGUGAACUAUGCCUGAAUAGGGUGAAGCCAGAGGAAACUCUGGUGGAGGCUCGCAGCGGUUCUGACGUGCAAAUCGAUCGUCAAAUUUGGGCAUAGGGGCGAAAGACUAAU